AAAAAAAAAAAAAAAAGAAAGAUAAGAGAAGGGAACAGGUUUUAAGUUCUUGCAGUGUGCACAUAAAUCAAAAAUAAGACCAUAACUCCAAGAAGCUUUUAAUUUAAUUAAGCAUAGAAAUAUUGCAUGUAACAAGGAACACAAGGACGCAUGUUAACAACCAUACUAUGGAAAAGCUUUUUCAUAUAUUCGACUUUGCAGUCAUAGACUGAGAAUGUUUAUUAACAGUCCCUUUACUCUUUACAUGCAAAAUACAGGAAAAAGAGACAAUAUAAUUGAAUCAUCUAGUCAUUCAUUCACCAGGUAGGAUGGAUAUUAUUUACAUGGGAACAGACUAAAGAAAGAUCUGAUCUUAUUUGGGAAAGUCAGCAUAGCAUUAUAGGGUAACCAGAAAAGCAAUACAGGAAAUCAGAAGUCAAGUGAGUAGAAAAUGCAGCAUGUACUAUGCUGAGUCCUCUAUACAACCCAAGAAAUAAAAAUAAAUAAAUAAAGGAUAAAGGUACAUCUUUUGGGAAGGAUGUUUAACUGCAGUUUGGAAAUUCUUGAAGAGAAAUUCACAUGAUAAAACUGCAGGUAUGGUACAUUCACAAAGAAUCUGAGGCAUCUGAAAUGCAUCAGACCCACAGACCUGACCCCAUAUGAGUGUGCCCCACAGGGCAGACCCAUGGACACAGCAAGGCCUUACGUCACACAGACAGCUGGGAAAUAAGCUGCCAUUAUUUUUACAUCAUUCAAGGAAUUCACACUUUGGCUUUAUUCCACAGUGUUAAGCAAUGCAGUACUUCUACUCCAGCUCAUGGUCCAGACAGUCCAAAUCAAAGACCUCGAAUAUCCAGCAGCUAGGCUUCCUAAACCAUGUCUAAAGAAAUUUGAGAUACCUAAAGCAAGCUCAUCUGUAGAAUAAAUUUGCUAUCUAGCAGUAGCAAUGCCUCAUCUCAGCUGCUGAAGAGUGAUGAAAUGUAAGGGGUAACUCUGACAAAAGCCUGAAUCAGUGCAGGAAGCAUAAGGAUGCUCUGAAAGGUUCUUGAUAAACGAAAAACACUUUCAACUCCAUGGCAUAUGUAUCAGCAGAUUGCAAAUUUGUGUGUUGGAGGGGCUCCCAAAACAAUCUUGCAAAAGCUGCUGUACACCAAUGAAAGGCCAACAGUGGCUGGUAUUUGAAUCUAGCCAGCCCACUAAAGUGUGGGCUUUUUAUGCCUUUCUUAUUUCUUCAAAGUGACUUGGGAAAGAAAGAAAGAACACAUCUCUCUGUAUCAACAGAAUAAGGAGCAAUACUCUCAAUUCCAGCCUGUUAAUUUCCACAAGCUACCAGAAGCCGCAAGGAACAAAGAGAGAAAAAAAUGCAGAGGAACUUUAUCCUUCUACCAGCAUUUUUGCAAUGCAAUGGCACCCUUGAGACUUUCAUAUUGUUGCUGAAAGGGAUUUUAAGCACUGCACUGCAGUGCCAGUUUGCUGGGAAAUUGCCUUAUAACAUCCAGAUCAGUUGAAGUUUGUCCUCCUGUCCCUUAGCUUGUGACUUAAGUGGCAGCUGAAAGAUGCCACUUGCACCAGUUUCUUGCUAACUUUAAGAAACAGCCUAAAACAACCUACAAAAAAAUAGCACCAAUCCUUCCUGGAAUGGAGUAAAGGGACUGCAGUACAUAGUGAAAUUGUAAAAUUGAUGUGUUUAUUAAUCCAAAAAAUUGAAAAUUGACUCUUUCAAAACUACACCAAUGAUUUAUCACUUUUGUUUAAAUCAGAUGGUUGCAAUAAUGAAAUAAUAUUGCAUUUUCCCAACCAAACAGUCAAAUCUGUGUUGUGAUAGCAGACUCAUUGGUGGUAAAAGCAAGCAGUCCAAGAGGGAUGUUGACUCUUGCCCAAAUUACAGCUUUGAUAAGUUGGACUACCAGAGUGCAAUAAACACUUCCAGUUAAUUUUCCCAUGGACACCAAGCAGCAGCCAAAAGCUUUUGAUAUCAAAUGGGUGUAGUAGGCAUACUGCUUGGCCAUCACCUUCUCAGUGUACUCUUGGGCCAGCUGUUUGGGAGCAGAGACAUUUGGUACAAAAUAAAAGCUUUUGAACGGAUAACCACUAUCUGCACUAAGUUCAGUCCCAGCUGUACCAGGAACAAAAGUGGGAAGUGGAGUUUCCCAGGCUGGGUCUUAGAAGGGACAGGCACUGCGGAGGAAGCGGGAGAGGUCUGGAGAGGAGGAAGGAGUCAGGAAGGAGCAGAGCUGGACUAGCUCCAAAGGAACUCAAGCCCAAAGGUAAGAAGCAGUGAGGAUACUGAGAGGAGGAGAAAGCAAAAUCACUGAGAAAUGCCAUAAAACAUUUGGAACUGUUCACUAAAAAUAAUUAAUUUCUUAAAAUUACUUGCCUUGAUCUCUCAGUAAAAGAAGUCACUGACUUAUCUGCACAGGGUAGCAUAAGACAAUGGACAACCAGAUAAACAUGUAAAUUGGCUGAGGCUUUAAAAUGCUUUCCUCUAAUUAUCUGUCUCACUGGAUAAAUGCUACAUAGCUAAAGAACAGCAAAAUGGAGAAGCUGGAGCCUUCACACACAACUUGUUUAAAAGCUGAAUAACUUCAGUAAGAGCUGGAAUGGCACCUAGAUUCUGGUCACAAUGUAGGUUAAAGGCUGAGCUUACAUCCAGACACAGGACUAGGCAUGAGACUUGACACCUGGAGGACUCAUUCCAGGGGGACCAGAAAUGGGACAGAGAUACUAUUAAUUCCAUAACUGUGUCACCAGUCUUAAGCAAGGACUCAUGGCCAGAAACUUCAUAGGACUAUAAAAGCCUGAUUCUUGUUGCUACUCUUCUGUCUAUAUAAUAUAUAUAUGUAUGACUACCUUCAUCAGUUAAAAAAAAAAAAACAAAACACCAACCUUUU
This is a long non-coding RNA of Passer domesticus (house sparrow), 2870 nucleotides long. RefSeq lists it as uncharacterized. Lineage: Eukaryota; Metazoa; Chordata; Aves; Passeriformes; Passeridae. The record is from RefSeq and is a predicted model, not a curated record. The transcript is spliced from 2 exons.